UACGGGGGGAGCAAGCGUUGUUCGGAUUUACUGGGCGUAAAGGGCGCGUAGGCGGUCAGCACAAGUCAGUUGUGGAAUCUCCGGGCUUAACUCGGAAAGGUCAACUGAUACUGUGCGACUAGAGUGCGGAAGGGGCAACUGGAAUUCUCGGUGUAGCGGUGAAAUGCGUAGAUAUCGAGAGGAACACCUGCGGCGAAGGCGGGUUGCUGGGCCGACACUGACGCUGAUGCGCGAAAGCCAGGGGAGCGAACGGG
This 254-nucleotide ribosomal RNA is filed under the name uncultured bacterium. Its description in RNAcentral is "partial 16S ribosomal RNA". It matches the Rfam family "Bacterial small subunit ribosomal RNA", at positions 524 to 776 of the family's 1533-position model. The record is from RNAcentral.